ACUCUUGCCAUGAUGAAAUUUGAUCUUAAAAAAAAAAAUAUCGAAAGAAGAAGAUGUGCUCUUGAUUUCUGUACUGUUGUUCUUGAAGAUAAGUCUUACCCUGGAGAUUAUAUCGGACUAAUCGGAGUUUGGUUCCUAUUACAAAAACCCUUGAUGUUUGUUCUAGACUUCCAAUUUGUUAAACAUACAUGUUAUGAUGUACAUAUCCUCUCUCACAAUUUAAUUUUUAUAAUUCCACUUUUGAUAUACAAAACUGGGGGCAUUUUAAAGAUUGAUACAUAUCUUCAAAUCAUAGAAAGUUUUAUUCAUAAACAUUAACAUAGAUGAUCCCUAUAAGCAGCCAAACUUUGUUAGUUUUAAACCUUUAUUCGCAUAGAAUUGCAUUUGAGAGAGGACACGUGAGGCACGUGUGCUUUUAAAAAUAUUUGUGAUACUAGUCCCACAUCGGAGAAGCAAUUCGAAGGGAGCUGUUCAUAUAGGUUAAUCUGGCAAGGUAGCUC
This 500-nucleotide small nucleolar RNA is filed under the name Rosa hybrid cultivar. Lineage: Eukaryota; Viridiplantae; Streptophyta; Magnoliopsida; Rosales; Rosaceae. The record is from RNAcentral.